CGGUCCAGACUCCUACGGGAGGCAGCAGUAGGGAAUCUUCCGCAAUGGGCGAAAGCCUGACGGAGCAACGCCGCGUGAGUGAUGAAGGUCUUCGGAUCGUAAAACUCUGUUAUUAGGAAGAACAUACGUGUAAGUAACUGUGCACGUCUUGACGGUACCUAAUCAGAAAGCCACGGCUAACUACGUGCCAGCAGCCGCGGUAA
Molecule: ribosomal RNA, 203 nt
Filed under: Staphylococcus haemolyticus
Lineage: Bacteria; Bacillati; Bacillota; Bacilli; Caryophanales; Staphylococcaceae
Description: partial 16S ribosomal RNA
Rfam family: Bacterial small subunit ribosomal RNA
Source: RNAcentral